RNAcentral lists this ribosomal RNA (138 nucleotides) under uncultured bacterium. RNAcentral describes it as "partial 16S ribosomal RNA". It matches the Rfam family "Bacterial small subunit ribosomal RNA", at positions 355 to 507 of the family's 1533-position model. The record is from RNAcentral.
UGGGGAAUAUUGGGCAAUGGGCGCAAGCCUGACCCAGCAACGCCGCGUGAGGGAAGAAGGCUUUCGGGUUGUAAACCUCUGUCCUUGGUGACGAAACAAAUGACGGUAGCCAAGGAGGAAGCCCCGGCUAACUACGUG